UGGCUCUCGCAUCGAUGAAGAACGCAGCGAAAUGCGAUAAGUAAUGUGAAUUGCAGAAUUCAGUGAAUCAUCGAAUCUUUGAACGCACCUUGCGCCCGGUGGUAUUCCGCCGGGCAUGCCUGUUCGAGUGUCACGUUAACCCUCAUUCAUAUGGUGUCACAGCCGCAUGAAUGGAUUUGGUUGCUGCCGUCGCCGGCUCAGCCUAAAUGAAUUAGCUUUGCGUCUAUUAGCGCGCUCGGCGUGGUGUGAUAAUUAUCUUCGCCCGCCUUAGGCCGCUUCCAAUGGCGCUGCUUCUAACGGUCUCCUGCGGACAACACUCUCAAAGCUUUGGCCUCGAAUCAGGUAGGACUACCCGCUGA
This 359-nucleotide unclassified non-coding RNA is filed under the name uncultured fungus. Its description in RNAcentral is "partial contains 5.8S ribosomal RNA and internal transcribed spacer 2". The stretch from base 1 to 133 matches the Rfam family "5.8S ribosomal RNA", at positions 22 to 154 of the family's 154-position model. Lineage: Eukaryota; Fungi. The record is from RNAcentral.